CAAAAGUUUGAUUCUAGCUUGUUAAGUUUGCUUUUUUAUAAUUGUACAUGUGUAUUUUUGUGUGAUUAUUUUUAUCUAAAUGUUUAAUUUUUAGUUAGUCGCAGUUCUUUAUUUUAUAAAAUUACAUGAUUGUAGAUAUAGUUAAUAUAAUAAGUUUUGACUAAUAUUGUGCCAGCAGUCGCGGUUAUACAAUAGAAACAAGUAAAUUUUUAUUGAUUUAUAUUUAAUUUAAAAUUUAUUAUUUAAUUUUAAAAUUUUGGGGUGAAAUCCAAAUUUAUUGUUAAAGUGAUUUUUAUGAUUAAAUAUGAUAGUUCAUUGUGAGACUGGGAUUAGAGACCCCAUUAUUAUGAAUAGUAAAUUUGUAAUCUUAGUAUUAAUAGUUAUGAUCUUUAAAUUAAAAGAAUUUGGCGGUAAUUUAGUCUGUUCAGAGGAAUCUGCCCUGUAAUCGAUAAUCCACGAUGAAUUUUACUUUAUCUAUGCUUGUAUAUCUCUGUCAUUGAAUGUCUUAUUAGGGUAUUUUCAUUAAUCUUUAUUGUGGAAAAUGUCAGGUCAAGGUGCAGCAAUGAUAAAGAAGAGGUGGAUUACAUUAAAUAUAUUUAUGGAUAGGAUUAUGGAAAUAAUUCUUUAAAUUGGAUUUGAAAGUAACUUUUAUUAGAAUAUAAAGUUGAUUUAGCUCUAAAUUAUGCACAUAUCGCCCGUCACUCUCGUUAUUUAAAAUGAGAUAAGUCGUAACAAAGUAGGUUUACUGGAAGGUGGGCCUGGUAUUAU
RNAcentral lists this non-coding RNA (768 nucleotides) under Triatoma rubida. Lineage: Eukaryota; Metazoa; Arthropoda; Insecta; Hemiptera; Reduviidae. The record is from RNAcentral.